AACGUAGGUACCGAGCGUUAUCCGGAUUUACUGGGCGUAAAGCGUGUUCAGGCGGCCUGGCAAGUCGGGCAUGAAAUCUCUCGGCUCAACCGGGAGAGGCUGUCCGAUACUGCUGGGCUUGAGGACGGUAGAGGGUGGUGGAAUUCCGCGUGUAGUGGUGAAAUGCGUAGAUAUGCGGAGGAACACCAGUGGCGAAGGCGGCCACCUGGACCGUCCCUGACGCUCAAACACGAAAGCUAGGGUAGCGAGCGGG
RNAcentral lists this ribosomal RNA (253 nucleotides) under uncultured bacterium. RNAcentral's name for it is "partial 16S ribosomal RNA". It matches the Rfam family "Bacterial small subunit ribosomal RNA", at positions 524 to 776 of the family's 1533-position model. The record is from RNAcentral.